RNAcentral lists this ribosomal RNA (466 nucleotides) under uncultured bacterium. Its description in RNAcentral is "SSU rRNA". It matches the Rfam family "Bacterial small subunit ribosomal RNA", at positions 26 to 518 of the family's 1533-position model. The record is from RNAcentral.
AGGACUAACGCUGGCGGCGUGCCUAACACAUGCAAGUCGAACGAGAGUAGCAAUACUCUAGUGGCAGACGGGUGAGUAACACGUGGUCAACCUACCUCUAUGUGGGGGAUAACUAGCCGAAAGGUUAGCUAAUACCGCAUACGAUCGUCGAGCGGCAUCGCUUGACGAUGAAAGGAGCAAUCCGCAGAGAGACGGGACCGCGUCCCAUUAGCUAGUUGGUGGGGUAACGGCCUACCAAGGCGACGAUGGGUAGCUGGCUUGAGAGAGCGACCAGCCACACUGGGACUGAGACACGGCCCAGACUCCUACGGGAGGCAGCAGUGAGGAAUUUUCCGCAAUGGGCGAAAGCCUGACGGAGCGACGCCGCGUGUGGGAAGAAGGCCCUAGGGUCGUAAACCACUGUCGAAGGGGAGAUAUUGACGGUACCCUUGGAGGAAGCCCCGGCUAACUACGUGCCAGCAGCCGC